Molecule: ribosomal RNA, 397 nt
Filed under: uncultured bacterium
Lineage: Bacteria
Description: partial 16S ribosomal RNA
Rfam family: Bacterial small subunit ribosomal RNA
Source: RNAcentral
AUACGUAGGGGGCGAGCGUUGUCCGGAAUGAUUGGGCGUAAAGGGCGCGUAGGCGGCGCGGUAAGUCUGGAGUGAAAGUCCUGCUUUCAAGGUGGGAAUUGCUUUGGAUACUGCCGCGCUUGAGUGCAGGAGAGGUUAUCGGAAUUCCCGGUGUAGCGGUGAAAUGCGUAGAGAUCGGGAGGAACACCAGUGGCGAAGGCGGGUAACUGGACUGCAACUGACGCUGAGGCGCGAAAGUGUGGGGAGCAAACAGGAUUAGAGACCCUGGUAGUCCACACUGUAAACGAUGAAUGCUAGGUGUAAGAGGUAUCGACCCCUUUUGUGCCGGAGUCAACACAAUAAGCAUUCCGCCUGGGGAGUACGGCCGCAAGGUUGAAACUCAAAGGAAUUGGCGGGG